RNAcentral lists this long non-coding RNA (1384 nucleotides) under Heterocephalus glaber (naked mole-rat). Its description in RNAcentral is "lncRNA (ENSHGLG00000042128.1)". Lineage: Eukaryota; Metazoa; Chordata; Mammalia; Rodentia; Bathyergidae. The record is from RNAcentral.
GUGGGAGGGAGCAGGCCUUUGUCCCCAGCGUCCUGGGCCGCUCCUGAGGCUGUGACCCUGCCGUGCUCUGGCCAACCACAUGGCCUGGGCAGCAGCGGUUCUGUGCCAGGUGAAAGUGCCCGUGCCCGAAUCACGUGAGAAACUCGCCAGCGGUGGCUCAGUGGCCGCAGCCUGUUCUGUUGGCUUCCUGUCGAGGCCUCGUGGCCCCAGUGUGACCUCACCUGGUAGAAGGCCCCACGCGCGUCACUCCCAGCCACCAGGAUGGAGGUGAAGGGCGGGACCCGGAGCGCAGAUGCACCCACUGGGCACUGGGCACGCGGACAGGGGCCCAGGAACGUGGUGUCGGAUGCAAGGAGGACUGCACAGGUGGCCACCUAGCCAGCCACCCCAAACUCUGUCAUAACCCAGCGUGAUGCCCACGCCCUCAAUCCCAGCACUUGGGAGGCUGAGGAAGGAGGAUCUCAAGUUCACACCCAGGCUGAACAAUUUAACAAGCAAUUUAAGACCCUGUCUAAAAAAGAAUUCAAGUGCUAGGUAGUGUAGCUCAGGGUCCAGGCGGGCCCUUCGGUCCUCCAGACCUUCAAAAACAACAAACACCAAAACACUUUCUUGGGGGUUCCACUUGAGCGUCUGUGGUCCCCACUCCUGCUAGUUCUGACUGGCAGUGUGGCCCGUUCGUUCUGGGUAGGCUGAUCCCGCGUCAGUCCUCCACACCUCAGCCUCUGUCCAGCAUCCCGCAGCCGCUGCCGUGAUCAGAUGGGGCAGAGCUCUUUGGUCCAACAUGCCACCACCUGACUCCUCGCCGGCCCCGGCAGCUUCCGUGUGUGGACGCUGUCCUGUCCCACCACUCCGCUGAGCCGAGGAGAGAGCGCUCCAGCCGUCACUGCGUGUAGAGUUUGGCCCCGACUGCAUCGUGGUGAAAUGUCUCCGUUUAAAAAUACUAAGCGAGCUGGACAUGCAAGCACAUGCUUGCCAUGCGAACUACCUCGGAGGCUGAGGCAGAAGAGUUCAACCCCAGCGGCGUGACUGAGUGAGACACUGUCUCAAAAACAGUUUUUUAAAGGGCCGGGGAUGUACGUCAGUGGUGAGCAUGGGGAUCUGGACGGGACGCUCUGGUACUGGAAAAGCUCUGCUCCCAAGGCAACGCUGUGAGUCACUUCCAUCAGCAAACAGACGCUCUGUGUUCAUCUGUGAAGCCAUGUGGACACAUUGCAGUGGUUGCCCGGCAAUAUUCUGUAAGAACUCUCAUUUUGGAUGCUAAAAGAGAAAGCCACACUCUGUCUCAGGGCCCCUGUGUAAGACACAGGCUUGCUUGGUGUGACGGUGCAUGCCCAUGAUCCCAGCACUCAGGAGGCCGAGGCAGGAGGAUCGCUGUAAGUUCCAG